RNAcentral lists this ribosomal RNA (112 nucleotides) under Danio rerio (zebrafish). Lineage: Eukaryota; Metazoa; Chordata; Actinopteri; Cypriniformes; Danionidae. The record is from RNAcentral.
UGCCACAGCCAUAUCACCCUGCAAGCCCAAGGUUAUCCACUGAAGUUAAGCAGAGCUGAGCCUGGUCAGUACCUGGAUGGGAGACUACAAUGGAACUAGGUUGCUGUUGGAG